This 518-nucleotide ribosomal RNA is filed under the name Aretaon asperrimus (thorny stick insect). RNAcentral's name for it is "partial large subunit ribosomal RNA". The stretch from base 386 to 518 matches the Rfam family "Bacterial large subunit ribosomal RNA", at positions 2473 to 2606 of the family's 2925-position model. Lineage: Eukaryota; Metazoa; Arthropoda; Insecta; Phasmatodea; Heteropterygidae. The record is from RNAcentral.
AUCUUUUCUUGUUAUUAAUUUGAGAUCUGACCUGCCCAAUGAUUUAUUUAAUGGCCGCGGUAUUUUAACCGUGCAAAGGUAGCAUAAUCAUUAGCCUAUUGAUUGUGGGCUUGUAUGAAUGGUUGGACGAAAUAUUUACUGUCUCAUUUUAUUUAUUAUAAUUUAAUUUUUGGGUUAAAAAGCUCAAAUUUUUUUAGAGGACGAGAAGACCCUAUAGAUCUUUAUAUUUUAUAUUAAAUAAAUUUUUGGUUUAUUUUUUGUUUAUUUUUUAUAUUUAUUAUUUUGUUGGGGUGACAUGGGGAAUUAUUUAACUCUUUAUUAUUUUACUCAUUUAUUUAUGUUUAUUUGACCUUUUAUUAUUGUUAUUAGAUUUAGAUACCUUAGGGAUAACAGCGUUAUUUUCUUUGAGAGUUCUUAUCGACAAGUAAGAUUGCGACCUCGAUGUUGGAUUAAGAUUAUUAUCAGGUGAAGUAGCUUGAUAAUUAGGUCUGUUCGACCUUUAAAUUCUUACAUGAUCU